Molecule: unclassified non-coding RNA, 303 nt
Filed under: Hevea brasiliensis (rubber tree)
Lineage: Eukaryota; Viridiplantae; Streptophyta; Magnoliopsida; Malpighiales; Euphorbiaceae
Source: RNAcentral
GAUUGAAUACAGAGCUUUUCCCCGUCCAAAAGCACCGAUAGUGGGAGAGUUAGAGCGGGAAAAGGGAGAAUGAAGACGGGUUCGAAGUCGGAAGGACCUUCGACUCCAGCACUUCGACGGGACCCGUACGAGGUUUUAAGCGUAUCUAGGGAUUCCACUGAUCAGGAAAUCAAGUCUGCUUAUAGGAAGCUUGCUCUUAAAUAUCACCCAGACAAGAAUGGCAGUAACCCUGAAGCUUCAGAACUUUUUAAGGAGGUCGCAUAUUCUUAUAGCAUCCUAUCUGAUCCAGAGAAGAGAAGGCAA